CCCAACGCUGCCGAACAGAUGACGUUAUCACAGCGCUGCAGAAGUGAUGGAAGUCCCUGGGGAAUAAAUUUCGGCGCCUGGGAAGACGUUUCAGAAAGAAAAGAGCCGCGCCGUGCCAGUCGACGUUCACGACGACGUCAUCUGGCUGUUUCUUGACCAGAUGAUGUUUCUGCGCUACACAAUGGAGUGUAGACCGAUGUCCGCCAACCUUCCACCAGUGCCCCCAUCGAGUGAGGAGGGAAGUGCUGCAGACAUCUUAACAAAAAAUGUGCCUGUUUUCCGAUCUGGCAACACUUGAAGUGCCAUCACCGUCAAGUGAAGAGUCACAAGCGCCAGCAUCGACUCUGUCUUCGGCGUCGCAUGAGUCUGUGGAGUCUCAGGACAUUUUGGAAUCUCUUGAAUCACCGAUGUUUCAAGAAGUUCUGGUUCCUGAGGAUUCUGAGGCACACCACAGCAGUCCGCGGUCAGAAGCAUCGCUGGCUUCAGCAGGCAGUCGUAGGCUGGACACGUUAGGAAGCAUUGCUUCUGAAGCAAAGUCAAGGGGGAGGAAAAGGAAAAAGAAAGAUUAGAGUCAGUUAAUAUUGGAGGAAUUAGGCAAUGUUUCAAGUGCAAUCAAAAGAUGCAAACCGCAGGACGACCUCGAACUUUUGCCGUCUCUCUGCUCAAACACAUUAAAGAGGUCAGUGAGGAUACGCAUCUCGACUUGAAAAUUAAAUUGAUGCAAGUAGGAGAGUAAUUCAAAGAUUAAUGUUUUUUAAUGUAUACUUUUUGUAUAAUAAAGCCAAGAGACAAUGAAACAAAAGGAAAUCAUUGAUGAAUUUAAUUACUUUAUAUCGAAAUGGAAAAAUAAGUAGGAAAAUGAAAGUAUAUGAAAAGGUAGCUUCCCACUAAUGGGAGACGAACCCACAACCUUUGAAUUAUGCUUGCAUUGCUUUACCAGUAGAGCUGCAGCAAUGGCUAUCCCUCUGCAAACUUUCUUGGGCCUGUAUGUGCAUGUACUAUAUCUCACCCUUGUAGUGUUAGCCAGUGCUACUCAUGCAAGAACACUCCAAGAGGCUA
This 1059-nucleotide long non-coding RNA is filed under the name Dermacentor andersoni. RNAcentral's name for it is "uncharacterized LOC126545245". The record is from RNAcentral. Lineage: Eukaryota; Metazoa; Arthropoda; Arachnida; Ixodida; Ixodidae.